GGUUAAGCGACUAAGCGUACACGGUGGAUGCCCUGGCAGUCAGAGGCGAUGAAGGACGUGCUAAUCUGCGAAAAGCGUCGGUAAGGUGAUAUGAACCGUUACAGCCGGCGAUGUCCGAAUGGGGAAACCCAGUGUGAUUCGUCACACUAUCGUUAACUGAAUACAUAGGUUAACGAGGCGAACCGGGGGAACUGAAACAUCUAAGUACCCCGAGGAAAAGAAAUCAACCGAGAUUCCCCCAGUAGCGGCGAGCGAACGGGGAGCAGCCCAGAGUCUGAAUCAGCUUGUGUGUUAGUGGAACGGUCUGGAAAGUCCGACGGUACAGGGUGAUAGUCCCGUACACCAAAAUGCACAGGCUGUGAACUCGAAGAGUAGGGCGGGACACGUGGUAUCCUGUCUGAAUAUGGGGGGACCAUCCUCCAAGGCUAAAUACUCCUGACUGACCGAUAGUGAACCAGUACCGUGAGGGAAAGGCGAAAAGAACCCCGGCGAGGGGAGUGAAAAAGAACCUGAAACCGUGUACGUACAAGCAGUGGGAGCACCUUCGGGUGUGACUGCGUACCUUUUGUAUAAUGGGUCAGCGACUUAUAUUCUGUAGCAAGGUUAACCGUAUAGGGGAGCCGCAGGGAAACCGAGUCUUAACUGGGCGUUAAGUUGCAGGGUAUAGACCCGAAACCCGGUGAUCUAGCCAUGGGCAGGUUGAAGGUUGGGUAACACUAACUGGAGGACCGAACCGACUAAUGUUGAAAAAUUAGCGGAUGACUUGUGGCUGGGGGUGAAAGGCCAAUCAAACCGGGAGAUAGCUGGUUCUCCCCGAAAGCUAUUUAGGUAGCGCCUCGUGAAUUCAUCUUCGGGGGUAGAGCACUGUUUCGGCUAGGGGGUCAUCCCGACUUACCAACCCGAUGCAAACUACGAAUACCGAAGAAUGUUAUCACGGGAGACACACGGCGGGUGCUAACGUCCGUCGUGAAGAGGGAAACAACCCAGACCGCCAGCUAAGGUCCCAAAGUCAUGGUUAAGUGGGAAACGAUGUGGGAAGGCACAGACAGCCAGGAUGUUGGCUUAGAAGCAGCCAUCAUUUAAAGAAAGCGUAAUAGCUCACUGGUCGAGUCGGCCUGCGCGGAAGAUGUAACGGGGCUAAACCAUGCACCGAAGCUGCGGCAGCGACACUAUGUGUUGUUGGGUAGGGGAGCGUUCUGUAAGCCUGCGAAGGUGACCUGUGAGGGUUGCUGGAGGUAUCAGAAGUGCGAAUGCUGACAUAAGUAACGAUAAAGCGGGUGAAAAGCCCGCUCGCCGGAAGACCAAGGGUUCCUGUCCAACGUUAAUCGGGGCAGGGUGAGUCGACCCCUAAGGCGAGGCCGAAAGGCGUAGUCGAUGGGAAACAGGUUAAUAUUCCUGUACUUGGUGUUACUGCGAAGGGGGACGGAGAAGGCUAUGUUAGCCGGGCGACGGUUGUCCCGGUUUAAGCAUGUAGGCUGGUUAUCCAGGCAAAUCCGGAUAAUCAAGGCUGAGGUGUGAUGACGAGGCACUACGGUGCUGAAGUAACAAAUGCCCUGCUUCCAGGAAAAGCCUCUAAGCAUCAGGUAACAUUAAAUCGUACCCCAAACCGACACAGGUGGUCAGGUAGAGAAUACCAAGGCGCUUGAGAGAACUCGGGUGAAGGAACUAGGCAAAAUGGUGCCGUAACUUCGGGAGAAGGCACGCUGGUGUGUAGGUGAAGUCCCUGCGGAUGGAGCUGAGACCAGUCGAAGAUACCAGCUGGCUGCAACUGUUUAUUAAAAACACAGCACUGUGCAAACACGAAAGUGGACGUAUACGGUGUGACGCCUGCCCGGUGCCGGAAGGUUAAUUGAUGGGGUUAUCCGUAAGGAGAAGCUCUUGAUCGAAGCCCCGGUAAACGGCGGCCGUAACUAUAACGGUCCUAAGGUAGCGAAAUUCCUUGUCGGGUAAGUUCCGACCUGCACGAAUGGCGUAAUGAUGGCCAGGCUGUCUCCACCCGAGACUCAGUGAAAUUGAACUCGCUGUGAAGAUGCAGUGUACCCGCGGCAAGACGGAAAGACCCCGUGAACCUUUACUAUAGCUUGACACUGAACAUUGAGCCUUGAUGUGUAGGAUAGGUGGGAGGCUUUGAAGCGUGGACGCCAGUCUGCGUGGAGCCGACCUUGAAAUACCACCCUUUAAUGUUUGAUGUUCUAACGUUGGCCCCUUACCGGGGUUGCGGACAGUGUCUGGUGGGUAGUUUGACUGGGGCGGUCUCCUCCCAAAGCGUAACGGAGGAGCACGAAGGUUAGCUAAUCCUGGUCGGACAUCAGGAGGUUAGUGCAAUGGCAUAAGCUAGCUUGACUGCGAGCGUGACGGCGCGAGCAGGUGCGAAAGCAGGUCAUAGUGAUCCGGUGGUUCUGAAUGGAAGGGCCAUCGCUCAACGGAUAAAAGGUACUCCGGGGAUAACAGGCUGAUACCGCCCAAGAGUUCAUAUCGACGGCGGUGUUUGGCACCUCGAUGUCGGCUCAUCACAUCCUGGGGCUGAAGUAGGUCCCAAGGGUAUGGCUGUUCGCCAUUUAAAGUGGUACGCGAGCUGGGUUUAGAACGUCGUGAGACAGUUCGGUCCCUAUCUGCCGUGGGCGCUGGAGAAUUGAGGGGGGCUGCUCCUAGUACGAGAGGACCGGAGUGGACGCAUCACUGGUGUUCGGGUUGUCAUGCCAAUGGCACUGCCCGGUAGCUAAAUGCGGAAGAGAUAAGUGCUGAAAGCAUCUAAGCACGAAACUUGCCCCGAGAUGAGUUCUCCCUGAGACUUUAAGUCUCCUGAAGGAACGUUGAAGACGACGACGUUGAUAGGCCGGGUGUGUAAGCGCAGCGAUGCGUUGAGCUAACCGGUACUAAUGAACCGUGAGGCUUAACCUU
RNAcentral lists this ribosomal RNA (2901 nucleotides) under Klebsiella pneumoniae. RNAcentral's name for it is "23S ribosomal RNA". It matches the Rfam family "Bacterial large subunit ribosomal RNA". Lineage: Bacteria; Pseudomonadati; Pseudomonadota; Gammaproteobacteria; Enterobacterales; Enterobacteriaceae. The record is from RNAcentral.